UGAUUAACUUUUAAUCACAAACAUGCAUUUAACCUUGGUAUUCUUUUACAUUCUUUUACAUCAUUUCUUCUCUUAUACAUUAUUCAUAUUCUUUCACUUAAACAUCUAUAAUCAUCAAGUACAAAAGAUGAUAUACAAAAAGGGGUAUGCAACUAUACAAAUGAAACCAUCUCGGGUGGUCCCUAUUUAUGGCGCGAUGCUUUUACCGCGAUCGUCGACCGGCUCACUCGGUCCCGGCUCUGUGGAAAUAGUGGGGUGAGAACUACAACAAAGUUC
Molecule: long non-coding RNA, 276 nt
Filed under: Ananas comosus (pineapple)
Lineage: Eukaryota; Viridiplantae; Streptophyta; Magnoliopsida; Poales; Bromeliaceae
Description: long non-coding RNA (ACOM_LNC003823)
Source: RNAcentral